RNAcentral lists this ribosomal RNA (253 nucleotides) under uncultured bacterium. Its description in RNAcentral is "partial 16S ribosomal RNA". It matches the Rfam family "Bacterial small subunit ribosomal RNA", at positions 524 to 776 of the family's 1533-position model. The record is from RNAcentral.
GACAGAGGGUGCAAACGUUGUUCGGAAUUACUGGGCGUAAAGCGCGUGUAGGCGGCUCGGCAAGUCGGGUGUGAAAGCCCUGGGCUUAACCUAGGAAGUGCACUCGAAACUGCCAAGCUUGAGUUCUGGAGAGGAAGGCGGAAUUCUCGGUGUAGAGGUGAAAUUCGUAGAUAUCGAGAGGAACACCGGUGGCGAAGGCGGCCUUCUGGACAGCAACUGACGCUGAGACGCGAAAGCGUGGGUAGCAAACAGG